GAAGCUCUUCACAGCCUAAAGCACAGCCAAAGCAAGACAACCAGCACAGGCAGGAGGACCCGGAUCGCUGUAGAUGGUGUAAUGAGACAGGGCAUUGGAAGCAUGACUGCCCUAAGUUCAUGAAACAUUGCCUAGUGAAAGGGAUUCAGUGGAGGGAGAACCCUUCAAAGAGGAGAAAGACAGAUUAAGGUGGCCACUGGUGUUGAAGCUGAAGUUCAAGCUAUAGGAAAUUUAUCUCUAGAUUUAGCUAGUGGCUUCACCCUUGAGUUGCAUGAUGUUCUUUAUGUUCCCUCUUUAGCUAGAAAUUUAAUUUCAGUUUCAUGUUUGUCAGACUAUGGUUUUGAUUGCCAUUUCAGCAAGAAUGAUUGUAAGCUACAGUUAAAUAAUAAAUGUGUGGGUCUUGCCUUCCGACAAGACAAACUUUAUUUAUUA
Sorghum bicolor (sorghum) is the source of this 432-nucleotide long non-coding RNA. RefSeq lists it as uncharacterized. The transcript has 2 exons. The record is from RefSeq and is a predicted model, not a curated record. NCBI's taxonomy places the organism in Eukaryota, Viridiplantae, Streptophyta, Magnoliopsida, Poales, Poaceae.